CUGGGCUCAACCCAGUAGGGCAAAAGAUACUGCAAAGCUAGAGUAUGACAGAGGCAAGUGGAACUACAUGUGUAGCGGUAAAAUGCGUAAAUAUAUGUAAGAACACCAGUGGCGAAGGCGGCUUGCUGGGUCGAUACUGACAUUGAGGCACGAAAGCGUGGGGAGCAAACAGGAUUAGAUACCCUGGUAGUCCACGCCCUAAACGAUGAGUACUAAGUGUUGGUGAGAAUCAGUGCUGAAGUUAACGCAUUAAGUACUCCGCCUGAGUAGUACGUACGCAAGUAUGAAACUUAAAGGAAUUGACGGGAGCCCGCACAAGCGGUGGAGCAUGUUGUUUAAUUCGACGAUACGCGAAGAACCUUACCAGGUCUUGACAUAGCACGCGAAGGCGUAGAGAUACGUUGGAGGAUAGCGUGCAUACAGGUGGUGCAUGGUUGUCGUCAGCUCGUGUCGUGAGAUGUUGGGUUAAGUCCCGCAACGAGCGCAACCCUUAUUUCUAGUUACCAGCAGUAAGAUGGGGACUCUAGAGAGACUGCCAUUGAUAAAAUGGAGGAAGGUGGGGAUGACGUCAAAUCAUCAUGCCCUAUAUGGCCUGGGCUACAAACGUGCUACAAUGGCCAGUACAAAGAGACGCGAUACCGUGAGGUGGAGCAAAACUUAAAAGCUGGUCCCAGUUCGGAUUGGAGUCUGCAACUCGACUCCAUGAAGUUGGAAUCGCUAGUAAUCCUGAAUCAGAAUGUCAGGGUGAAUACGUUCCCGGGUGUUGUACACACCGCCCGUCACGCUAUGGGAGUCUGUAAUACCCGAAGUUGGUAGCCUAACCAUUAGGAGGGGGCCAACGAAGGUAGGAUAGGUGACUGGAGUGAAGUCGUAACAAGGUAACCGUAA
This 888-nucleotide ribosomal RNA is filed under the name uncultured bacterium. RNAcentral describes it as "bacterial SSU rRNA". It matches the Rfam family "Bacterial small subunit ribosomal RNA", at positions 603 to 1505 of the family's 1533-position model. The record is from RNAcentral.